Molecule: long non-coding RNA, 9004 nt
Filed under: Citrus x clementina
Lineage: Eukaryota; Viridiplantae; Streptophyta; Magnoliopsida; Sapindales; Rutaceae
Description: Citrus clementina (C. clementina) long non-coding RNA (CCLE_LNC005468)
Rfam family: Plant small nucleolar RNA R71 (bases 1287-1390)
Source: RNAcentral
AAGCAUUCUCAAUUGUGUGGUUCCCUAUACUACAUGAGAUAGUGGGGGAGCCUGGGUCUUUGCAUUUUAAAGGAAUUUUAUGUUGGAGUAUAGAACUAACGUUUUCUGUUAAAAAUGCCUUCUUUUGAACAUGCAUGUUUCUCUUUUUAGUACAAAGGUCUUUAAGAAACUUGGCAUAAGAUGGAACUUGUUUAAUAGCAUCAAGUAAAGGGAUGUUAACACUUACCUGUUUGAAGAUUUCAAGAAUCUCACCUGUAGAUUUUCCCUUUUUUCCUUUCGCUAACCUCUGAGGAAAUGGAGCUUUGGGAACGUAUUCUCGUGGGUUGGUUUCUUCUUUCUCCUCCGGUGAUGAGUCAUCAACAUUCACAGGUACAAUUUGAUUUUCCUUUGUCACCGGCAUCUCCACUUUGUUGUCGAUUUCUUUUCCUUUUCGCAAGGUCAUUAUUGCUUUGACCUCUCCAUGCUGUUGUGGUGAACUGGUACUUGCUUCAUGUACUCCUUUAGGAUUAGGCACUGGUUGACUUGGAAACUUACCUUUCUCAACGGUCAUUGCCAAGGUUUGAACUGAAGAAGCAAGUUGUCCCACCAUCUUCUCGAGGCUUGAAACAGAUUGAGCUUGUGAGUUGAAGCCUGCUCUCAACUCAUUUCGUAGUCCAUCAAUGGUGCGGUUCUGUUGCUCAAUCGUGGAGUGAGUAACAUUCCUAAAAUUCUGGAAUGCAUCCUCCCAUGGUCUAGGUUGAGAGUGGUUCUGGUUCUAAUUGUAUGGUCUAAAUGGUGGCUGAGAGGCUUGAGGAACUUGAGGAAUUUGUUGCAUUGGUGGAGCUGGAGCUGUUGGUCCAUUCUGUUGGAAUCCUUGAGACCAUGAAAAAUUGGGGUGGUCUCUCCAUCCAGGGUUAUAUGUGUUGGAGUAUGGGUUGUAAUUUAAUGGCUUUCUCAUUACACCUAUGGCAUUGGCUUGAUCUGAGUAUGAGUCCUGGUCAUGUGGUUCUGUUGAUUUAGCAGUCGAUAACGAUGCUAUUUGUCGAGCAAGACCUUCAACCAUCUCCUUAACUUCUUUGAUUCCCGAAGUUGACUCGCCAAUUUGAACCUCAUUUACUCCCUUAAUUCGUCUAGUAUUCCUGAGUGAUCGACUCCGUUGUUGGGAAUUAUCCGCUUGUCGCUGGAAGAAUUCCCAAAUCUCUGAUGCACUUUUUGACAUUAGCUCUCCUCCACUUGUCGCCAUUAGCCAUUCUUGCACAUUUGGCAAUAAUCCCUCCAAAAAGUAUUGGCAUUGGUGCCAUUUCUCGUACCCAUGAUGUGGACACUUCAAGAGUAGCCCAUUGAAUCGCUCCCAUGUUUCGAAAAAUUGCUCGUCCUCUCUCUGGGUAAACUCCGAGAUUUCCCUGCGAAUAGCAUUGGUUUUAUGCACUGGGAAAUAUUUAUUUAAAAAUUUUGUAACCAUUUGUUCCCAUGAUGAAAUGCUAUUGGCAGGUAAAGUAUUUAACCAUGAACGAGCUCUAUCCUUUAAAGAAAAUGGGAAUAGUCUAAGUUUAACAUCAUCAUCUGAAAAAUUCUCAUAUUUGAAUGUUUGACAAAUGGCAUGAAAAUCAUUCAAAUGAUUAUAUGGAUCCUCAUUUUCUAGGCCAUAAAAUGUGGGGAGACAAUUUAGCACACUAGGUUUUAAUUCGAAACUCCUAGCAGCUACAUUUGGGUAUCUUAUGCAUGAUGUGCUCAAAUUAGCUAAGGGACUGAAGUAGUCCUUAAAUGGCCUCUCCUGUGGUUGCAAAUCCAUUUUAUUUUUAACGUGUUUGUGUGUGCGAAGUGUUUUUUCUAAUUCAAGGUCUAUAGGUUCAAGAUUAGGUAAUAAUGACCUACGACCAUGCAUGCAAAAUAAAUAAAAUAAAAAUAAAGAUGCAAACAAAACAAAAAAUAAAGAUGGGAACAAAACAAAUAAAAAUAAAGAAGAGGGAGAAAUUACGAUACUAACCUUAUUGCGCUAUUACAACCUUUCUAUAAAAAUACACAAAAAUAAAUACGUGAAAGAAAUUAACUAAAAAUUAAAUUAAUAAGAUAAACAAAAAAAAAAUUACAAAGAAAAAUAAAUGGAAAAUUAAAUUACAGAAUUUUAAAGAAGAGAAAAAGAAAAGAAAUACUAACCUUUAAAUGUAGAUUCACUUUUUUUUUUAAUAAUAAAAAAAAAUACAAGAAAACAAAUAAAAGAAAUUAUUCACAAAAAUUAAUUCUAUGAAUUAAAAUUACUUACCUCCCCGGCAACGGCGCCAAAAACUUGUUGUGCAAAUUUUAAUGUACUCGCAAGCGCACGAAUCUGUUGUAGUAUAGAUUAAUGGUGACGAGUGUCGAUCCCACGAGGAGGUGGAUUUUAAUUGUGUAGAAUUAAUUUUGUGAAUGGGUGAUUGGAUUUGUGGUGGAAAUAAUUGGAAUAUGCUAAAACUUAAAUUAAAAUGGAGAGAAUAAAUUCUAAAAUUAGUAUUGAAAUGGUGAGAAUAAAUUGAAGAGAAUUCUAUUGAAAUGACGUACUUGGGUAUCUGGAUUCGUAUCAACAUGCAUCAUGGGCUAAAUAUUCCUUAUUAAUGCCAAUUAAAUCAUGAGGGGGGAAUCCAUACCUCAUGAACCACGCUCUAAUCAAUAUGGUGCUAAGGGCUUAUCGUGCCAAAUAAUAAUAACCUUAUACUAGAGAGCCGGUGUAACCAAGGCGGUAUCUAGACAAGACUAUUAUUAUUUGUCGACGAGAAGUCAAAACAUCCACAAAAAUUAGAGGGGAAGAGAAAAUAAAUUUACCAAAUUAAGCCCAUGACACAUGUUGAGACUUCACCUUCAACCCAAGCUUGAAAGAAAAUUAGCCACUCAUAAUUGAACUAGGGGCAAAAUGGGAAUUUAUUAAAAUACGAAGAAAAUACAAGAUGGAGAAGGAAUUACAGAAAAUGGAUCCCAAAAAUAGAUUCAGAGAUAUCAAAUUAGGGGGGGGAGGCCCCCUUUUUAUAGAUACAUGGAGUAAAUCAUGGCCAUCGGAUUAAAAAUAGUUUGGACGCUCAGGAUUGCGCCACGUCAUCAGUCAACAGUCCACGGUUUGACCACGCGGAUGAACAGUAACACGGUUUGACCCGACUUUGAACAGUAACGCGGUUUGACCCGGAUGAACAGUAACGCGGUUUGGUUGAAAAUAAUCCUGUGUGAUGCAUGCACCGUACGCGAGAUUUUUCGUCCACUGAUAUGCUGCCACGUCACCAUCAACAGUACAUAAGAAUUUUAGUCCAACAGGAUCGUGACACCUCAUCAGUCAAUGCCACAUCAUCGGUCAAUGCCACGUCAUCAUCCGUCUAUGUGAACAGUGUCGUGAACAGUAACGUAUACAGUAUCGUACACGUGAAUAGUACCGUACAUGUGAAUAGUGCCAUUUUUCCUUUUAUGCUCCUCCUAAGGUUUUCGACCGUCCUGAGUUCAAAAGUGAUGUCCGUUUUGCCGUCUGAUCUCUCCUUUAUUGUGAAAUGACUAUAAUGCCCCUAAAAUACAUAAAUUACUUAAUUAAAAUAAAACACACGUAAUUAAAUCAUAAGAAUGUUAAAUACAUAAAAGUAAGGGUUGUUAGUAAGACUUGAAAUGUAAAAUGACGGUUUUCUCCUUUAUAAAUAUGCAUUUUCUAACACUCAACAAUGAGUUGACAAGCUAUCAUCUUAUAUAUAACCAUGCAUCAUGAUAAAGCACUAAAUGUUAAACACAAUGAUAAUUCCAUCAUGUAAACAUACAAGCAUACUUUCGUAAAUUCAUUUGUCAUGAUUCACUCAAUAUAGUAAAUAGGCAAGAUAAACUUAUCUACUUCAUGUUAAUGCACUCAAUGUUAUGAUACCAAAUGAAAUGUUAAAUAUUUACUAAGAUUAAAAGACCAUAACUUAUAAUCAAUAAGGCAAUAAUAGUUACCAAAACAAUUAAAUCAUUUUGCCUCAUUAUUUUUGCUUAGACCAUGAUCAAGUGAUUAUCCUCAUAAGCUUCAUCAAGGAACUCUCCACCAUUCCUUGAUUGUGGUACCUACAAAGAGAACAUUCACGUUGUGCCCUUUGGUACCCAAAUACUCUUGGGUCCUUGAGUGUUAGAUUUAGUUCCUUUCGGAACCCAAAUACAUUUGACUCCAUAAUACACAUUUCUUUUAAUUUGACAUCUAUUCUUCAUAUGACCAUUUUGAUUGCAAUAAUGACAUACAAUUUGAUCAUUUGUGGAGGUAGCCUUAACAAAAUAAUUCUUAUAAUAUUUUUGUUUCAAGUAAGGCUUAUACCCAAGUCCUCCUUUAUCAAACACACAUUUUUGUGAAUUAAGCAUGUUAUCCAACAUCUUUUGCCCAUUUGUGAAUUUCAAAACAAUCUCAUUCAACUCAUUGCUCCUUUUCUUAAGCGUUUCAUUUUCAUUUAUUAAUUCAUCAACAUGUGAUUUCUCAUACUCAUACAAAGUACUUUGUUUACAUGUGAAUGAUGCAAUUCUAUCAUGUAACAUUUCAUUAUCUAAUUCCAAUUCUUUGAUCUUUUCAUUUAAUGAAACAUUGGAUUUUUGCAAGGCAUCUUUUUCAUUUUUCAAGUCAUUUACAUGUGAUUCUAGAUGCUUGUGUGAAAUGUUAGGUUUCUCAUUUGAUAAUGCAACUCUAUCAUACAAUGUUUUAUUCUCUAAUUCUAGGCAUGUAAUCUUUGCACAUAGAGAUUCAUUUUCAUUUUUGAGCUCUACCAUUUUCUUUUUAAGACAUGCAUUCUUUUUACCAAUUUUCAUCCACUCAUCAUACAAUUCUUUAAACGCAUCAUGUAAUUCAUCAUAAGUAAGAAGAUCAUUUACCUCAUCAAGUCCAUCAUCCGAGUCAUCUCCAAUUGCCAUAAGUGCCAAAUUCGACACUUCAUGAAAUUCCUCCUCCUUUGUAGUCUCCUCAUACACAAUUUCAAGUUUUCUCCAAAUUUCAUAAGCAUUAGAACAAUUUGAAACUUUAUGAAAUUCCUUUUUAUCUAAGGCACAAAAUAAAGCAUUCAUAGCCUUGGAAUUUAAUGACAUCUUUUUCUUAUCCAAUUCACUUAAAACAUUCUUCCUAGGAAUGAAUGAAUCAUCACAAACUAUUUCCCAUAGUUCAUAAUCUAAGGCUUGUAAAACACUCUCAUCCUAGUUUUCCAAUAAGGAUAGUCAUUACCAUCAAAGAACGGUGGUCUAAUUGUGGAUUGUCCUUCCCUAAAAAUUGAGUCAUUAUGGGUUGCCAUGGAUCUUUAACUCUAGACGGUUAAGUCUACACAAGAGCACCUCGCUCUGAUACCAAAUGAAAUACUAACUAGGCAACCCAAGAGGGGGGUGAAUUGGGAUUUUAAAAAUUAUCCUAGGCAAACCACACAACAAUUUAAUCUAAUGCCUUAAUAAAUUCGAAAACAAUAAAUUCAAUAAAAGCACAAUAAUAAAUGAGUAGGGGAAGAGAAAGCAAACUCAAGGAUUUUUACGUGGUUCGGCAAUCCCCGCCUACGUCCACGUCUCCAAGCACACCGGGCUUGAGGAUUCCACUAAGCAAGCCUCCAAGGCUUCAAACGCUUACAAUUGACUUCCAAGGUGUCAAUGGACCUUUACAACAAGAGAUUAUCCCCAAUCUCUUAACCCAAGUGUAUCCCAACACUUACAAUCUUUUAACUUGAUUUUACAAAAAAGAUUACAAAUGAAUCUCUCUCACACAAUGUGUUUGAUCACAAGUGAAAGCUCAAUGUGUGAAUGAAUAGAUGAAUACAAAGAUUUAAAGCUCAAUGAAAGUUGUAUUCUCAAUAUUUUGCUCAAUGAUGAUCGUUGGAAUUCUUCUUGUUUGAAUUAGAUUGAGCUUAUUUAUAGUUGGAGCUGAAAAACUAGCCGUUAUAGACUGUCUGCUCGAAAACAGUUCACCGUUAACCAUUAACGGUUAACCGUUUAGGCUGGUCAAAGUUACCGUUGGGCCAAUUUUCAAAUAAACGGUUAGCCGUUUAGGCUUACCCUUUCGCCGUUAAUUUCCAGACACCUGCACAACAAAUUUGGUUUAACCGUUCUUACUAAACGGUUCAAGAUUAGCAAUCUGGAAAUAAUUGAUUAACCAUUUUCAGUAAACGGUUCACUGUUAGUUUCCAGAAGUUUCCAGAAUCAUCAUUUUAACAAUACUUUGCAGAACAUGCUUUCUGGAAAUUAUCGGUUAGCCGUUUUUAAAUAAACUGUUAGCCGUUUGCUACAGUGAUUGCUACAGUAACUUGCACAGUGCACUAUUUUCUGAAAUUAUAUUUUGACCCCAAAACUUUACAAAACUGUACUAUAGCCCAAAAUGUUAUGAAACGUUACAAAUAGGUCCAAUUUCAGAAUUUCUAAGUAAUGCUUUGUUAAUCCCAAAACUUUUUGAAAUUAUGUUAUAGCCCAAAAUGCUAUGACACUUUUCAAAUAAGUCCUUCACCAAAAUUUCAAGCAAUACUUGUUUAUUUCAAAGUUUUCAAAAUGCUUUCAAUUAAACCAUAAACUUUGAAAAAUAACCAAUUUCAUAAAAUCAUUUUUCCAUUAAAUAUGAAACAUUUAUAAUGUGAAAAUAAUGAUUUAUUUAAAAAGAAUAAAAACAAUCAAUUUCAUAAAAUCAUUUUUCCAUUAAAUAUAAAACCUUUAUAAUGUAAAAAUAAUGAUUUAUUUAAAAAGAAUAUUAAAUAAUUUGGGCUUAAAAGAUUAAUCAUUCUUAAUCUUGUUUGUUAUCAUCAAAAUCAAUAUUAUGGAAACAUAUAUGUUAACAGAAUGUAAUGCAUGCAGUCUACUGGAUUUAUACCUUUUAUGUCUACUAUGGUCCAUCCUAAUGCUCCUUUGUGCUCUUUUAAAACAUCCAACAACUUACCUUUUUGUUCAUUGUUGAGGGAUGAUGAAAUGAUUACCGGCAGAGUACUUUCUUCUCCCAAAAAUGCAUAUUCCAAUGUGUUGGGCAAUGGUUUGAGCUCAAGUUUCGGUGGUGAUUCAGAUGAUGGGAUGAGUUUCUUUUCUGAUGGUACUAGUUGUUCAACUCUUGACUUCCAUUUAUUAGUGUCCAUGGAUAGUGCUGAGUCAAGUAGGGCGUUGACCUCAUCUACCGAUUUGUCAAUAUCAAAAUCCAAACCAAAGUGAGUUAAACAUGUUUGUAAAGGAUUAUCACUAAGGUUUGAAAUAAAAGUGUCAUCAACUAAUGCUUCAAUUAAGUCCAUAUCAACAAUUCCAUCAUCUGCAUUAUGAGAUUGUUUGGCAAUGUUGAAAAUGUUUAGCCCCAUAGUCAUAUUGCCGAAGGACAACUGCAUAUUUCCGGUCCUGCAUUGAAUAUGAGCAUCCGCAGUUGCCAAGAAAGGUUGGCCUAGAAUAAUGGGGAUGUGCUUCCUCGAAUCUUGUAUUGGUUGAGUGUCAAUUACAAUGAAAUCAACAGGAAAAUAAAACUUGUCUACCUGGAUAAGCACGUCCUCCACAAUACCACGAGGUAUUUUCGUGGACCGAUCUACAAGCUGUAACAUCACUGGAGUUGGGUGUAAUUCUCCCAGUCCAAGUUUCACGAAUACUGAAUAAGGCAACAAAUUUACACUAGCUCCUAAAUCCAACAAAGCAUUCUCAAUUGUGUGGUUCCCUAUGCUACAUGAGAUAGUAGGGGAGCUGGGUCUUUGCAUUUUAAAGGAAUUUUAUAUUGGAGUAUAGAACUAACGUUUUCUGUUAAAAAUGCCUUCUUUUGAACAUGUAUAUUUCUCUUUUUAGUACAAAGGUCUUUAAGAAACUUGGCAUAAGAUGGAACUUACUUUAUAGCAUCAAGUAAAGAGAUGUUAACACUUACCUGUUUGAAGAUUUUGAGAAUCUCACCUGUGGAUUUUCCCUUCUUUCCUUUAGCUAACCUCUGAGGAAAUGGAGCUUUCGGAACGUAUUCUCGUGGUUUGGUUUCUUCUCUUUCCUCCGGUAAUGAGUCCUCAACAUUCACAGGUACAAUUUGAUUUUCUUUUGUCACCGGCAUCUCCACUUUAUUGUCGACUUCUUUUCCUUUUCGCAAGGUCAUGACUGCUUUGACCUCUCCAUGCUGCUGUGGUGAACUGGUACUUACUUCAUGCACUCUUUUAGGAUUAGGCACUGGUUGACUUGGAAACUUGCCUUUCUCAACAGUCAUUGCCAAGGUCUGAACUGAAGAAGCAAUUUGUCCCACCAUCUUCUCGAGGCUUGAAACUGAUUGAGCUUGUGAGUUGAAGCCUGCUCUCAACUCAUUUCGUAGUCCAUCAAUGGUGCAGUUUUGUUGCUCAAUCGUGGAGUGAGUAACAUUCCUGAAAUUCUAGAAUGCAUCCUCCCAUGGUCUAGGUUGAGAAUGGUUCUGGUUCUGAUUGUAUGGUCUAAAUGGGGGCUGAGAGGCUUGAGGAAUUUGAGAAAUUUGUUGCAUUGGUGGAGCUGGAGCUGCUGGUCCAUUAUGUUGGAAUCCUUGAGACCAUGAAAAAUUGGGGUGCUCUCUCCAUCCAAGGUUAUAUGUGUUGGAGUAUGGGUUGUAAUUAGAUGGCUUUCUCAUUACACCUAUGGCAUUGGCUUGAUCUGAGUAUGAGUCAUGGUUGUUGAGUGUUAGAAAAUGCAUAUUUAUAAAGGAGAAAACCGUCAUUUUACAUUUUAAGUCUUACUAACAACCCUUACUUUUAUAUAUUUAACCUUCUUGUGAUUUAAUUACAUGUGUUUUAUUUUAAUUAAGUAUUUUAUGUAUUUUAGGGGCAUUAUAGUCAUUUCACAAUAAAGGAGAGAUCAGACGGCAAAACGGACAUCACUUUUAAACUCAGGACGGUCGAAAACCUUAGGAGGAGCAUAAAAGGAAAAAUGGCACUAUUCACAUGUACGGUACUAUUCACGUGUACGGUACUGUAUACGUUACUGUUCACGACACUGUUCACAUAGACGGAUGAUGACGUGGCAUUGACCGAUGAUGUGGCAUUGACUGAUGAGGUGUCACGAUCCUGUUGGACUAAAAUUCUUAUGUACUGUUGAUGGUGACGUGGCAGCAUAUCAGUGGACGAAAAAUCUCGCGUACGGU